Transfer RNA from Sus scrofa (pig), 72 nucleotides. It matches the Rfam family "tRNA". From Rfam's summary of the family: Transfer RNA (tRNA) molecules are approximately 80 nucleotides in length. Their secondary structure includes four short double-helical elements and three loops (D, anti-codon, and T loops). NCBI's taxonomy places the organism in Eukaryota, Metazoa, Chordata, Mammalia, Artiodactyla, Suidae. The record is from Rfam.
UCCCUGGUGGUCUAGUGGUUAGGACUCAGUGCUUUCAUCCCUGUGGCCCAGGUUCAAUCCCUGGCCUGGGAA